Heterocephalus glaber (naked mole-rat) is the source of this 600-nucleotide long non-coding RNA. Lineage: Eukaryota; Metazoa; Chordata; Mammalia; Rodentia; Bathyergidae. The record is from Ensembl.
GAUGUUUUGUCAGCCCAGCCAUGGCUAGAGGAAAAGUCCUUCUUUCAAUAUUUUGCCCAUAACCCUGAUAAACCAACAGGGGCUUUCACACAGCACCUUAAAAGCCUGUCUUAUCCUUGGGGUUUCUGCAGCCAAUGAAAGUUUGUCACGAUGAUGUAAUGCUCCUGAGUUGUGUUUCAGCACCGAGUGUGUGGUCACCGAGUAUCAUGCCUGAGAGCUAGACCGUCUGGAAAGGGCAGCUGUAUUACAUCUUCACUAAAGCUAGGAAAGCCCUUCCACCAUGGCUCUUCUGCCUGGAGCUGGCAGACCAUGCAAGGACUGAGACUUCUGAAACUGUGAGCCGAAAUAAACCUCUCCUCAUUUAAAUUGCGGGUGUCAAGUAUUUUGUCCCAGCAAUGAGGAAAGUGACUAAGACAGGAGCCCAAAUAGUGAGUACACCAUCUAUAUUAUUUCCCUAAUGAUGGACUUGUGCAAAUAAGUGUACUUUUUCUAAUGGUAAAAAUAGUUCAGGUGGAGAUCUAACAUGGCUGAUUAGAGGAGGUGGUAUGUCAGAGAGAUUCAGUGAAGAGUUACCAGAAAGGUACUCUGAAAUAGGGGAGG